AGCUCCAAUAGCGUAUAUUAAAGUUGCUGCAGUUAAAAAGCUCGUAGUUGCAUUUCCGAGGCAAGGGAUUAGUCCGACCUUUGGUGGGUAUUUAAUCCUCUUGCCUCGUCCUUGAGUGGUGCUUCUUGGUAUUAAGUUAUCGAGGAGAUAGCCGCUCAUCGUUUACUGUGAGAAAAUUAGAGUGUUCAAAGCAGGCUUAUGCCGUUGAAUAUAUUAGCAUGGAAUAAUAAGAUAGGACCUCGGUACUAUUUUGUUGGUUUGAGAACCAAGGUAAUGAUGAAUAGGGACAGUUGGGGGUAUUCGUAUUCAGUUGUCAGAGGUGAAAUUCUUAGAUUUAUUGAAGACUAACUUAUGCGAAAGCAUUUGCCAAGGAUGUUUUCA
Molecule: ribosomal RNA, 381 nt
Filed under: uncultured marine Chaetocerotaceae
Lineage: Eukaryota; Bacillariophyta; Thalassiosirophyceae; Chaetocerotales; Chaetocerotaceae
Description: SSU rRNA
Rfam family: Eukaryotic small subunit ribosomal RNA
Source: RNAcentral